CGCGAGGCGGCCCCGCCGCUUAACUCCUUCCGCGCCGGGCGGGGAGCGGCGGGGCCCGAGGUGGGGAGGGGGGGCACGGCUUAAACGGGGGAGCGCCUGGGAACGGGGGGGCGCGGGGGGCACGGCUUAAAUGGGGAGCGAUUAGCGGCGGGCAGAGGUUAAACGGCGGCGCCCCGGUGGCAGCCCGGCGGGACCACCCCGGCGCUGCCCCCGCUCGCCGGCCCGGGCGCGCUCCGGGUGCGCGGCGCCCGCUCCGCUCCGCUCCUCCCCCGGUGCGGCUGUCCCGAGCUGCGCGUCCCCGCCUGCCCCGGGCCGUGCCGCACCGCCGCGCUCGGUCGGCAGGAAAAAAAAAGAAAACAAAAAAAAUCGAGAAAAACCCCAAAUAAUAAAAAACAGACCCAAAAAAUGGAGCUUCCUGGCCUCGCCGCCGGUAAAUCCCGGUGGAUACUCCCCAAAGUUCGCGGCGCGCCGCCGGUGCGCGCCUGGCUGCAGGGCAGCACCGGGGGGAAAAAAAAGAAAAAAGGGGAGGAAAAAACCGUGCGAAAAGGGAAAAGAAUGGGGGAAAAGGAGCGUGCGGUCCCCGGGACCCCCCCGCGGGAGGAGCGGGGGGAGCGCGGAGCCCCCCGGUCCGCCCGGGCCCGGCGGGCACAGCUCCGCACCCGCGGAGCCCCGGCGGGGCGGGCACAGGCGCAGCCCCGGGACCCCCGACCCGCUCCCGAGUUCCAAAAUGACCUUUCCCUGCAUCGUUUUGGAGCAGAAAUAAAAGAAGGCUUGCAGCUACCAGAAAGUCAUUAA
This 795-nucleotide long non-coding RNA is filed under the name Catharus ustulatus (Swainson's thrush). Its description in RNAcentral is "lncRNA (ENSCUSG00005010535.1)". The record is from RNAcentral. Lineage: Eukaryota; Metazoa; Chordata; Aves; Passeriformes; Turdidae.